RNAcentral lists this transfer RNA (78 nucleotides) under Planctomycetota bacterium. RNAcentral describes it as "Planctomycetes bacterium (bioreactor metagenome) tRNA-His". It matches the Rfam family "tRNA". Rfam says of the family: Transfer RNA (tRNA) molecules are approximately 80 nucleotides in length. Their secondary structure includes four short double-helical elements and three loops (D, anti-codon, and T loops). Further hydrogen bonds mediate the characteristic L-shaped molecular structure. tRNAs have two regions of fundamental functional importance: the anti-codon, which is responsible for specific mRNA codon recognition, and the 3' end, to which the tRNAs corresponding amino acid is attached (by aminoacyl-tRNA synthetases). tRNAs cope with the degeneracy of the genetic code in two manners: having more than one tRNA (with a specific anti-codon) for a particular amino acid; and 'wobble' base-pairing, i.e. permitting non-standard base-pairing at the 3rd anti-codon position. Lineage: Bacteria; Pseudomonadati; Planctomycetota. The record is from RNAcentral.
GUGGCUGUAGCUCAGCUCGGUUAGAGCACCAGGUUGUGGUCCUGGGGGUCGCGGGUUCAAAUCCCGUCAGCCACCCCA